AAUUUUAUAGUGAAGUUCACAUUAUUAUUUCAUGAUAAAGAUUGGUUAGUCUUC
RNAcentral lists this transfer RNA (54 nucleotides) under Epeus alboguttatus. Its description in RNAcentral is "tRNA-Glu". Lineage: Eukaryota; Metazoa; Arthropoda; Arachnida; Araneae; Salticidae. The record is from RNAcentral.